RNAcentral lists this unclassified non-coding RNA (87 nucleotides) under Chryseobacterium ureilyticum. Its description in RNAcentral is "Flavo-1 RNA". Lineage: Bacteria; Pseudomonadati; Bacteroidota; Flavobacteriia; Flavobacteriales; Weeksellaceae. The record is from RNAcentral.
UCCUAGCCCUGUGCUCGUAACGGUUACCCCGCAGCAUGCGCUGGAAUGUUAUGGCGCGAGGAGUAGGAGUGGAUAGCAGAAAAUAGC